GAUGAACGCUGGCGGCGUGCCUAAUACAUGCAAGUCGAGCGAACAGACGAGGAGCUUGCUCCUCUGACGUUAGCGGCGGACGGGUGAGUAACACGUGGAUAACCUACCUAUAAGACUGGGAUAACUUCGGGAAACCGGAGCUAAUACCGGAUAAUAUAUUGAACCGCAUGGUUCAAUAGUGAAAGACGGUUUUGCUGUCACUUAUAGAUGGAUCCGCGCCGCAUUAGCUAGUUGGUAAGGUAACGGGUUACCAAGGCAACGAUGCGUAGCCGACCUGAGAGGGUGAUCGGCCGCACUGGAACUGAGACACGGUCCAGGCUCCUACGGGAGGCAGCAGUAGGGAAUCUUCCGCAAUGGGCGAAAGCCUGACGGAGCAACGCCGCGUGAGUGAUGAAGGUCUUCGGAUCGUAAAACUCUGUUAUUAGGGAAGAACAAAUGUGUAAGUAACUAUGCACGUCUUGACGGUACCUAAUCAGAAAGCCACGGCUAACUACGUG
RNAcentral lists this ribosomal RNA (497 nucleotides) under uncultured bacterium. Its description in RNAcentral is "partial 16S ribosomal RNA". It matches the Rfam family "Bacterial small subunit ribosomal RNA", at positions 28 to 507 of the family's 1533-position model. The record is from RNAcentral.